CCCUUAGAUGUUCUGGGCCGCACGCGCGCUACACUGAUGCAUUCAACGAGCCUAGCCUUGACCGAGAGGUCCGGGUAAUCUUUGAAACUGCAUCGUGAUGGGACUAGAUUAUUGCAAUUAUUAAUCUUCAACGAGGAAUGCCUAGUAAGCGUGAUUCAUCAAAUCGCGUUGAUUACGUCCCUGCCCUUUGUACACACCGCCCGUCGCUCCUACCGAUUGAGUGUGUUGGUGAGGAGUUUGGAUUGGCCUCGGAAGGUGGUUCGCCACCGUCCGUAGCUGAGAAGUUCUCCAAACCGCCCCACUUAGAGGAAGGAGAAGUCGUAACA
RNAcentral lists this ribosomal RNA (326 nucleotides) under uncultured eukaryote. Its description in RNAcentral is "partial 18S ribosomal RNA". It matches the Rfam family "Eukaryotic small subunit ribosomal RNA", at positions 1470 to 1796 of the family's 1831-position model. The record is from RNAcentral.